Long non-coding RNA from Scomber scombrus (Atlantic mackerel), 229 nucleotides. RefSeq lists it as uncharacterized. The transcript has 4 exons. NCBI's taxonomy places the organism in Eukaryota, Metazoa, Chordata, Actinopteri, Scombriformes, Scombridae. The record is from RefSeq and is a predicted model, not a curated record.
CUAUCACUCAAACUGCAAACGGCGACCACAGAGCUGGUGAUGAAUGACAGAGAGCUCUCAGCUGGAGGAGGAUCGCUAAUGGAAUUGUACUGCAUCAACCCCGAGAUUCACGGGGAGAACACACUAGAUUGCCCUUCACUUGAGAAUGACCUUGAGAUCCUUCAGCCUAUCUGUUCAGUGACAAUGAAGGAUCCUCUGGGAACCCCCCUUCCUCUCUCUUACUACUAUA